This 673-nucleotide ribosomal RNA is filed under the name Clostridioides difficile. RNAcentral's name for it is "partial 23S ribosomal RNA". It matches the Rfam family "Bacterial large subunit ribosomal RNA", at positions 316 to 991 of the family's 2925-position model. The record is from RNAcentral. Lineage: Bacteria; Bacillati; Bacillota; Clostridia; Peptostreptococcales; Peptostreptococcaceae.
ACGAAGAGGUAUCGUAAUUGAAGAGGUUUGGAAAGACCCACCACAGAAGGUAAUAGUCCUGUAUGUUAAACGAGAAGACUUCAGAUAUGAUCCAGAGUACCACGGGACACGUGAAACCCUGUGGGAAGCAGGAGGGACCACCCUCCAAGGCUAAAUACUACCUAGUGACCGAUAGCGUAUAGUACCGUGAGGGAAAGGUGAAAAGAACCCCGGGAGGGGAGUGAAAUAGAACCUGAAACCCUGCACUUACAAGCUGUGGAAGCACAUUUCUUGUGUGACCGCGUACUUUUUGUAGAACGGGCCAACGAGUUACGUUAAGUAGCAAGGUUAAGCACUUAAGGUGCGGAGCCGUAGCGAAAGCGAGUUUUAACUGAGCGUUCAGUUACUUGACGUAGACCCGAAACCGGGCGACCUACCCAUGAGCAGGAUGAAGCGAAAGUAAAAUUUCGUGGAGGUCCGAACCCACGAGCGUUGAAAAGCUCGGGGAUGACUUGUGGGUAGCGGUGAAAUUCCAAUCGAGCCCGGAGAUAGCUGGUUCUCCCCGAAAUAGCUUUAGGGCUAGCCUCAAGGUGAGAGAUACGGAGGUAGAGCACUGAAUGUCCUAGGGGGUAUUGCACCUACCGAAGACUAUCAAACUCCGAAUGCCGUCAUCUUAUACUUGGGAGUCAGACUG